AAAGAAACGAAGCUAAUAUAUUCUGUAGAACUCCUAAAAAUAUCAUAGAGAGAAAUUACUACAUGCUUUUUAAGGGAAAAACACAUAUCUAAAAAUAGUUUUCAUUCAAAUAAACCCGUUUCCCCAUUAAACAUCUUUGCUAUCCCAAAAGAUUGCUACUUUCCUUCCCUCCUUAAAUUAAAGUUGCUAAGGAACCUGAGGUAAGCUAUCAUCACACAGAUACUGCUCUCAUCCUAUCACUUACCAAUAAUUCAAGUCCUCCAGUAAUGCCAAAACACUUAUCAAUUUACAGAAACAGCUUAUUACCAGGAAUUGUAGAAGACAGCCAUCUUCUAUUAGCUGCCUUUAAAGGAAACAGAUUUUAAAAGGAUGGUUUGUAACUUUUCUAAGUAUUGAAACAUUCUUAGAUACCAAAAUACGAAUGUGAGGUCCUACCUCGGCAGAAGACUCUCGUCGAACUGACUUCACCACAAUUGCUUUGUUCUUUUCUUCUAUGUCAAAUCCAUAGUCAUCCUCUUCUGGUAAAAUCUUAAACAGAGCACAAUAUUUACACAUAUUUAUGCUUCAUAAAUACAGAGUUCACAGAAAAGGUGAAGACUGGAGAUGAGAAAUUAGACUUUUCAUUGCAAGCCACAAUCUGGACUUCUGUCUUAAGAUGGAAAGGGACUACCAGAUCAUUUGGUCUGAUUGCCUACAAAACAUGAGCCAUAAAAUUUAAUCUUAGUUGUUUCUGCAUUGAGCCCUUAAUAUAUAUUAAAGCAGAUUUUACAGAGUUACUCAGGUAUGAUCUGCAGUCUUUAAGAAGUGAAGAAUCUAUUCCCACCCUUGAGAGUUUUUUGCAGUGGUUCAUCAACUCUUCUUUUAGGAACUGGAUUUGACUUUUAACUCCUAGCCCUUCAUCCUUCAAUAGAUCUUUCACUUUUGUAUUACGGAAUUCGUCAUUAUUCAGUAUUUUCCACUGGUGAAUGUACUACAGAUUGAGUGCGGUCAUUUGUUUAUUUUUCAGAAUACAUCCCUACCUGAUAAUGAAGAUCUGAGUGCUUCUCAGCUACCAGUUUCACACAAAUUGCAGAUCUCAGGCCUACCUUUCAUAGAUCUAACUACACACUACAUAAUUCUACAGCAUAAUAGCAGUCUGAUGGCUGAAAUUCUAUCUAAUGAGAGGACAAUUCCUGGCAUCCGGUCUUCACAAGUCCCUUCACUCAAGCAACUGUUAAUUUAUGCAUGCAAAAGAAAGCAGCUCAUGACUUAAGCAUGACUACUACAGAUUUGACACAAAUCUGUGCCCUCUAAGUAGGAGAUUUUCCCUCAUCAUGUGCUCUUCAUUUGUUUUCUGUUUGAGACAGGACUGCAUUUUGACAAAGGGUGAGUGAUGCACUUCAGGACUACAACAGCAGCAUUCAUAUGGCUUAGAGAAUGAUGCCCUGAAAUAUCUGUGUUUUUAUCAGUCUUUUUAACUUGCAUCUAAAUUCAUCCCACAUAUAAGCAUGUUUGAAUUCAAACUGGGCUUACACUUGAUGGCAGAUCUCUUCCAAGAGAGUAGAGUACUUUUUCCUCCACCAUGUCCACACUGUGAUACCUGCUAAAACAUAUCCACCUCCCAGCUCCCUUACACUCUUGCAAGGGUUUCUUGGGAAUAGAAAGGGCUUGAGCCAUGCACUGGAAACAGGUGGGCACUUCCGUGCAUUUGCACCUGUGUGAACUGUGCAUCCAAAACUCCCAAUACAGCAGCAUGGUCACAAGCUCCAGAAAGGGGCCUCCAAUGUAAGGAUUUCCCGUGCUCCUAGAGUAAAUUAUGCAGUCUGCCUAACUGAAAAGUCAGAGGUACAGAAGUUAGAGGUAUACAGCAAAGCAGAUCAAGAAUUAGUAGCAUUUAUGCAGUGAAGAAAAACCUAGCUACACAUGCAACUGCCCAUUUUAAUUCUACUCUUUCAUUAUUCUGCUCUAUUAUAAAACAAUACCAUUUUAGCAGAAACAACAAGGUUUAUACAUUCACAUGUUUCUUACCAGAAGAUUCUUUCCCAGGAUAUUUUCCACGAGCUUGAAGUCAUUACGUAAUUGUUUGCUCUUGGAACUGGUACCCUCCAUCUCCUCAUCAGCAUAAAAGCGGAAAUAUAAGGAUUCAUCCUUAAAUUCACUUUUCUCCAGGACUGGAAAUUAUAAAUGAAAUACAUACAUUCAUUUACAUGGACCAAAAAAAGAGAGAAACAGCGAAGAAAGUUAAAGGAACCAGAGGAUCAAGGACCGGCACUGGGGAAAGACACCAUAUUAUCUCAAUGUGAAGACAUUUUAUUUGAAAUCAGAGUGUUGGACUUCAGGACCCAUUAGUCACAGACAAUAAAACUCCUCCUUUGAAGCUGAGAGAUCCCAUCCAUAUUCAGCUCAAGGGAGAAAAAGCUAAGUAUGUGAACUCUACAGGUCAGACAGGUUAAAACUACAGUGGCAGUUUGCUUACACAGCAGAUUACAAAGGCUUCUGUUUCUCACCACCUGAAGCCUUGAGUGUAGUCAUUCAAAACAGGUAUCAAAGGUGACUUGUAAAUUUACAGACUUCCCUGAAAUAGCAGCCUAAAGCUUUAUAUCUACAAGUCAGUUAAAUACCUAGAAAUGCCUAGUUUUCUCAAUAUAUCUGCUAAUUUGCAGCCACAAGUGAAGACUUUACAAACUUGGUUGCACUUUUUAGGCAGACAAGUAAGUUUUAAAUAGUGCUGCUAAAAAUCAGAAGGCACUACUAGUCUUACAAAGAUUGUCAACACUGGUCCCUUGAUGUGAGAUGAGCAAAGGGACACAGGGGAAGCUGGUGUCUGCUAUGUCAGUGAGAGCAGCUCCUCAGCUCAUUCCAGCAGGGAGGGCACCUGCUGCUUUGGCAACAGAAGCAAUUUCAGUGUAUUACUUUCAGUCCUAUUUAACAAGAAGCUGUGUCCUACACAAGUAUUACUUACACCUUUUCUCCCCUGCAUCUGAAGAACUAGAUACCCAAAAGCUCUCACAGCAGCCGUAGCAUAGUGUACCGACUUUGUUUUAAGCAAAAACAAAGUGCUUCAAGCACCCUCUGAUCUUGCCAGCAGAACAUUAGUCUAACUUCAAAUACCACCAAGGAGAGCAGUAGUUAUUUGCCAAGCAAAUGCUGGCAAAGCCCAUCACUGUGGUGUAUCAGCAUUAUUUAAAGACAGGAUCAGCUCUGGCCAAUCCACAGCAUACUAGCUUUUGUUAAAGAGGUUGAGAGCAGAACAGAAAAAACAUUUACAAAUUAAGAACUAAAUACUGUUAUCUUGGUAGAAAAGACAUCAAGGCAGUUCUGAAAGAAUUGCAUGACCAUGUCAUCACACAAGGAAAGCCAAGAAAACAGCUUUAAGAAACCAAAAGUUUAACUUUUAUUAUGAACUAAUUUCAAGUCUUCACAAGUCUUCUCUCAUUUUCAACAUCCUGUCAUGAGACUGUUCAACGCUCACAUUGUGUUAUUUUAUAGGAUAAAUGGGUAGUUUAUUUUAUAGAGACUGGGAUUUAAAAAUCCCAAUUUAUUCUUUCAGCUGUAAAUAAACUGGAGGAGAAAUACCUUCUAAUAUUACCAUCUUAAAACUUUAGCAGUCUAUGUUUGUCCUAGGCAACAAAAUCUUUGCACAGGAAGGGUCUAAACUAGAUUUGGCUACUCCUGAUGAUGUUAUCUUGGCAUCAAAACAUUCCCCUAGCAAAAGAGCAUUCUCUAAUUAGAAAAUAUAGCUUUAAUUCUUUCAGCUCACGAAGUACUGCUAAAUGUUAUGUAGGUAUUUCUCCAAAUACAAUAAGGGAAGUAAUGAAAAUCUUCAGAAAAUAGAGCCAUUUACAAUGACCAAUCUUGACAAAAUGCAUCUCAACCUUUUCACACAGAAACUAGAUGUGAAACUUGAUACACUAGUUUUGACAUGCUAACUUAGGUUUAUUCCAUACAGUCUCUCCAUUUGAGUCAUCAGAAUUACAGAAACAGUUUGCAGUCAGUACCAUAGUGAAGAAACAUGUCCAGAGCACAUUUCUAUUACUCUUAUUACUACUGCCACCAUUACAAUUAUUAUUGUUGCUGUCUAGUUUUGGUAAUGAUGUGAUGUCUAAAGCCCUAAUCAUGGUGGUUGGUUGCUUUGGGAUGUGUAAACCCAGCAAUUAAGAUGGUCUCAGACCAAGACUGUUUACAGCUCCCUGGGAGGAGGAAAGAAAGCAGAUACACACAGGUAAGAGCAGCAACCAAACCACUUUUAAAUUUUCCACUGAUAAAUUGUAAAAGGGAAGUUUUAGGAUUAUGAAGCGCUUCUUAGCAAAGAGAGUAUCUUAAAACUUUUCUUACCUGUGCAAUAAGCCAGUCCACUAGUUUACUUGCAGGGAUUACUGAUUUGUAUGUCUUUAGGUGGUAGUCACGGUCUCUAAUUAAGAAAGAAUUCAGGGAAAUUCAGGACCAAAAGGUAUACAUAUCUUUUACAUUCUAAACCUAUAUAUAUACUGUUGUGACUUACUACUAAUAAGCAGCCAUCUUUUCUCUGUAUAAAGUUUUAAACUUCUCUAGCAGCUUCAAUUAGGAAGAUACUUCAAAUCAACACAAAGCAGUGUUACUUAAAAUUUCUCUAGAUGUUGUUUCAAGCCAUCUUCAGGGAGCUCACAUUCCCACCAGAGGCAGCCAGAAGAUUCUUUUCACAGAUGUCCUAAGCUGCUGCUGUAACUCAGGUUAAAAUACUGCCACCAGCAGUCCCACUAAAAAUCACACUUUCUGGCUGGAAAUCAUCCAAAAUCUAUUGAUGUCCAGCUUACAUCUUUUGGCUCAGUAUGAGUACCAUCCAUAAGCUUCAAUAAUUCUUCUCUAGCAUUUAUCUAUUAAUGCAUUCAUAGACGGGGACUCUACACAUUCCCCCUGUGCCUCCUUUUAGUGAGGCUCAUGGAAUUAGGCAGCUUUUAGUCUAUUUUGUCAAGAGAGAUUUUCCACACUUGUUCAGAUUUCAUUUCCUUUAGCAGAAUAACACAUAAUAGCCAGACACAAAUAUAAUAUGCAGUAUUCCUUAAUGGAAUUAGAUAAUCUCAGUCAUUGUAAACAGGAAGGGUUGUGUUUAGUUGUUGUAACACAACUGGCACCAGCCCUUGCAGAGCACUGUUCCUGCAAGAAGGAAAAGGAACCAUACUGUAACUUGAUGCUUUUUGCAGUUUUCUUCAAUUCCUCUUCUUAGAGCCAUGGAGAUAAUUGAUGGCUUUAGCCUUCUGUGAAAUAUUUCUAAAGAAUUUUGAUACAGAUACAAGAGGCAUAUGUGGCUCAGGACAUUGGGCUCUAACACCUCUCACCUCCAAGGUCACUGGACUUAAUCCAGUUUGGAAGAUCAUAAAAGCAAUUUUAAGGCUUUUUACUGGCCCAUGUGAAAUAAGUUUCAUGGUCUUGAUCCAGUUCCUAGUUCCACAUCACAAAAGACACUACCACAAUUAAUUUGCAUUAAUUGGCUCCCUCUCAUUGAGAUUCUCAGCAGAGAGGCCAAAUCCUGAAUGGAUAUGAAGAAUUAAUUCCUCUCUCACCCUUGGGGUGGUCCUUGUGUUUGAAGCUUGAGCUCAACUGGCACAACUGUAGAAGGAAGCACAGCCACUGGGGCUGUUUUACAGUCUGGAUGGAUCCAUGAGGCAGGCCAAGACAAGACUUUAUUCCUCAGUUCUGUCACAUCAGCCUCUUUCAUUAGCACCACACUAUCCAAUACUGCCUUUUUCCUAAAAAUCAAAUAUCCAAACACCAUCUAAAACCUGUCCUACCCAAACCUGUUCCUUUUACUAAUCAUCUACAGAUAUAAAUAUGUUGUGACUGACUGUUGGAAAUAAAUGCAGCAGAAAUGUCUGUGUGUUUGCAGAAUGCAGGGUGUGAGAAAUUGAAAAGAACAGUGGGACUUUCAGAGCUUGGGAAAAAAACCAACAAAACAUGACAGCAUUUCCAGUAAUGUGUCCUCAGGAAAAAAGCUUUCCUCAUAGUGCUUAUGCACAGUUUUCAACUUGUCUCCCAGUAAUGUGCUAAACACAGCACAAAUCUGUAGGAGUUUUCUGGGCAGAUUUCCCCUCUCACAUUCUCAUCCUGGGGAAAUGUACUUUUGAAAUGUCAGCAUAAUAAAUGAAAACAUAAAAACAUUGAGCACUAAUGAGUAGGGAGUUCCAGACGAGAAGUAACUCUCAAAUCUUUCCUGGAGAUGCUGACAGUUUUGAUAAGGUGCUAUCAAUUUUGGUCCAAGGCCCAGUCUUUCCCUGCUUAGGGGUCAGUGCUGGUCAGAAUCAAUUUUAAUUCACUCUCUUUUCUCCCCAUUUCCAUCUGCCCUGAAGAGGAGCAGAACAUGAAACACAGAACGUUAUCCAGAACCAUGAGCCUCAGGUGAACAGUCAAAUACAGAGGUGGGAACCACAGAAAUUUGGCAGAACCUUGCUGCCUCACAGAAACUAGAGGAAUAGAAUAUCCUCACAGGGUCUAGCUCAGCAAUGCACUGACAUACUGUCCAUCACAUACAUACGUGGGAAUAAGUUCUCUCACCUCACAAUUUCUCAGAAAUACAUCAGAGAUACAUUCAAAAUGCUUUACUUUUUAUACUUCAAUCCCCAAAGUAGCAUGAUUUGUUUCCAGCGGUGUACAUCGUCUUGCCCUCAAAGUGACAGGGUGUCAAGAUUUUACUUGAGGAAAAAUAUAAAGGCAAAGACUACUAGAAACUCCAGGCUUCCAGGGAAUAAAACUAAGUAGAAUUGUAUCUCUGAGGUUGUCAAUAAAACAGUUUUGAGUUUGUGAUUCCUCCAGAUCCCUGUGGCACAUGUAUCUGCUACUCCAAGCAGCUUUGCCAAUUUUCUAGAAGGAAGGUAGCGCCAGAAAAGGCAGCUAGAGUGAAGGGAUCAGCAGUCCUAAGAUGCCAGAUACAGCAGUGAUCCAAAGGCACAGCACAGAGCAAUGGCAACGAACUUGGCAAAAGCUAUCUUCCUUAGGCUAAGGUGAGGCUUGUCAGAGGCAAAAACUCAUGAUAAGAAGACAAAACAAUGACAGCCUGAGAGAUUAGGUUUUCUAACAUGGCUAUAAAAGGAAGAAGGAAAAGAAAGGCAGGAAGAAGAGCCUAAACAUACUGAGAAUUAAAUCCAUUCAGAAGGAUCCUAAAACUUUGGAGAGUCUGGUACCUUUCAUUGAUUAUAUACAGUUUGUGUUCAUGAUGUCUAGCACAGAUCAAUCCUGAUAUGAGAAGCUAUCCUAAUAGCUUCUCCAGCUGGGAAGCUAUUACAAAAAUAGCACAUUGACAAAAUACCACAAGAUGGGCCUGUGCGAGUUAUUUUGUCGUUGUUGAUUCCCUAAAGCAUUAGAGUAAAUCCACUUCAGUUUGUGGGUACCCUGAGGUCAGGGACAUUUUUUGAACUUCACUUCCCAUCAUUUCUACUCUGCAUAUGAAUUGCCAUCUUCAGGGAUGAAAUGUCUACGUGCAAAUACAUAUGUGCAUCUACAGAAUCAUUUUGUCUGCCACUGGUAGCAUCAUGCUUUCCUGCUCUCUCCACACCUUUUGGGCUAAGUGAAAUCUGUGUCACAGUAGAACAGUUAUUCUGGGAAAAAAACCCAGAGUUCCAAUGGUGCAAAUUUUUUACUUAUAAACUGUAACUAUCAUUGCAGAUCCUUUUAGCAUGACAGUGGCAUCUCCCAGUGAAAAUUCAGUUGUACAAUUCAUGGACAAGGGGUCACUUUUGUUGAAUUUGGGAAUCCAGCCAUCUCCACUAGAUGUUUUUUGUUUUUUUUCUCAUCAGUUUUUUAUUUGUAAAAAAAUUAAGUUCUCCUAAGUGAAAAUGCCUAAUCUUCCAUGCAGUUGUAGAACAACUACAGAGUUCAAGGUGGUUUCCAUUAUAGGCCAGAAAUGUUCAUCUGAUGUCACAGUAAGGUAAACAACAUCUGAACAUCAUCUCCUGGGUUCUGGGAACAGUUACCUAGCACUUGCAGACUAUCUCAAUUCUUCAGCAGUAAUUUAUACAGAACCAGAUUCUUAGGAUUCCACACAAAACUUUCAGGGUUUCUUUAAAUUACAGCUUCAGCUUUUGUUCUGCUUCAGACUGGCUUUUGUUUGUUUAGGAUGCUCUGAAUGACAGAAUCCUAGAACCACACUGGAAUCUGUUUACAUCACUUCAGCAUCUGCUGACAUUUUCUAUAACCCAAAUAAUACAGCAACUACAAUCCCCACCACAUGGGGCACCACAUCUGCCCUGAAUCAGAGCCACUGUAACCAUACUCAGCUGCUCACUCUCCCUGAAUCCCCAGUUCCAACACCCUCUAGCGGCAACACUGCUAGAUCUAAGCUUACAGAUCUAAGCUGUGGAGAUGCAAGAGCAGCAGAAGAGCCAAGAAAAUUCAGAAAAUUAUUGCUUAUAGUAAGAAACAAGAAAGAUUUCAAUAGUAGUGUCAUGCUUUUAACAAAGCCAGAUAAUAAAUACAAAGGGAUCACGACGGGGAGCUUACUUGACCACUGGAGUAUACAGGCAGUGCAGUCGGCAGUACAGUCUCACCCCCUGAAGAAUGGAAGAUGCAGAGUGUUAAAGCUUUUUCCUUUUCAAAGAAACACUGACUAGCUAAUGCUAACAAAACCUGGACACUGAUGUCUCUCCUCAGCUGGAAUUUUUUAUUUAUUUAUUAAGAUUGAUAUUCAAAACAGUUCCUUUAGCCUCUCUGUCAAACAUUUUUUCUUCCUUCCUGGCUUCCAACAGCCAGAAAUCUCUUUUCACUUCUAAUCACCUCCAUUCCAACAUUUUCUCCAUUAAUCCUUCUUCACAAUUAACCCAUUAACCAAUGUCCAUAAGAAAAAAAUCAAAUUUAUUAAAAGGUAUGUGGACAAAUAUGGGAUCAACAGAACUCAUUUUACUAACACUUAUUAGGAACAGUUAAAUAUUGAUCUCUUCUGUCCCUCUAAACCAUAAUGCCCAGAUUUGCAGGAGACAGGUUACCACCGACUGUUUUAAAACCUUUUGUUACUCUACUGGGAUUGCAAUCAGCAGUCUCGGGUGCAGUCACAACUGUAUUGGUGUUCAUUGCAAACUAUGCUUCCUCUCCCUAAUGUGAAUAUCUCCUGUGGCAUUAGGAUGGAUAGCUCAAUACAACACAGAUCAACAGCAAUGGCAAUCUCCCACACAGUAGGUCAACAACAUUCAGAGGGAGAGCAAACUUCUUGAUGCAAAUCACAAGGUUCCAGCUAAGAAUGGUAACACAAACCUUGGA
Passer domesticus (house sparrow) is the source of this 9201-nucleotide long non-coding RNA. RefSeq lists it as uncharacterized. NCBI's taxonomy places the organism in Eukaryota, Metazoa, Chordata, Aves, Passeriformes, Passeridae. The transcript has 3 exons. The record is from RefSeq and is a predicted model, not a curated record.